UGAUACUGAGAAAAGAUCAACCAUGUAUUAUUCGAAAUCAACAAAGCGAAUAUAACACGGUCGAUCUCUCUUCAAGUACCA
Molecule: non-coding RNA, 81 nt
Organism: Callithrix jacchus (white-tufted-ear marmoset)
Lineage: Eukaryota; Metazoa; Chordata; Mammalia; Primates; Cebidae
Source: Rfam